CCUACGGGAGGCAGCAGUGGGGAAUCUUGCGCAAUGGGCGAAAGCCUGACGCAGCAACGCCGCGUGCGGGAUGAAGGCCCUCGGGUCGUAAACCGCUUUCAGCAGGGACGAAAAUGACGGUACCUGCAGAAGAAGCCCCGGCUAAAUACGUGCCAGCAGCCGCGGUGAUACGUAUGGGGCGAGCGUUGUCCGGAUUUAUUGGGCGUAAAGAGCUCGUAGGCGGUUCAGUAAGUCGGGUGUGAAAAAUCUAGGCUUAACCUAGUGGAGCAUCCGAUACUGCUGUGACUAGAGUCCGGUAGGGGAGUGUGGAAUUCCUGGUGUAGCGGUGAAAUGCGCAGAUAUCAGGAGGAACACCAACAGCGAAGGCAGCACUCUGGGCCGGAACUGACGCUGAGGAGCGAAAGCGUGGGUAGCAAACAGGAUUAGAUACCCUGGUAGUCCACGCCGUAAACGUUGGGUACUAGGUGUGGGGAGGAGUCAACCCUCUCCGUGCCGCAGCUAACGCAUUAAGUACCCCGCCUGGGGAGUACGGCCGCAAGGCUAAAACUCAAAGGAAUUGACGG
RNAcentral lists this ribosomal RNA (563 nucleotides) under uncultured bacterium. RNAcentral describes it as "bacterial SSU rRNA". It matches the Rfam family "Bacterial small subunit ribosomal RNA", at positions 338 to 916 of the family's 1533-position model. The record is from RNAcentral.